CCGGCUUACCAACCCGAUGCAAACUGCGAAUACCGGAGAAUGUUAUCACGGGAGACACACGGCGGGUGCUAACGUCCGUCGUGAAGAGGGAAACAACCCAGACCGCCAGCUAAGGUCCCAAAGUCAUGGUUAAGUGGGAAACGAUGUGGGAAGGCCCAGACAGCCAGGAUGUUGGCUUAGAAGCAGCCAUCAUUUAAAGAAAGCGUAAUAGCUCACUGGUCGAGUCGGCCUGCGCGGAAGAUGUAACGGGGCUAAACCAUGCACCGAAGCUGCGGCAGCGACACUGUGUGUUGUUGGGUAGGGGAGCGUUCUGUAAGCCUGUGAAGGUGUGUCGUGAGGCAUGCUGGAGGUAUCAGAAGUGCGAAUGCUGACAUAAGUAACGAUAAAGCGGGUGAAAAGCCCGCUCGCCGGAAGACCAAGGGUUCCUGUCCAACGUUAAUCGGGGCAGGGUGAGUCGACCCCUAAGGCGAGGCCGAAAGGCGUAGUCGAUGGGAAACGGGUUAAUAUUCCCGUACUUGGUGUUACUGCGAAGGGGGGACGGAGAAGGCUAUGUUGGCCGGGCGACGGUUGUCCCGGUUUAAGCGUGUAGGUGUGUGUUCCAGGUAAAUCCGGUUCACUUUAACACUGAGGCGUGACGACGAGGCACUACGGUGCUGAAGCAACAAAUGCCCUGCUUCCAGGAAAAGCCUCUAAGCAUCAGGUAACAUCAAAUCGUACCCCAAACCGACACAGGUGGUCAGGUAGAGAAUACCAAGGCGCUUGAGAGAACUCGGGUGAAGGAACUAGGCAAAAUGGUGCCGUAACUUCGGGAGAAGGCACGCUGACACGUAGGUGAAGUGAUUUACUCAUGGAGCUGAAGUCAGUCGAAGAUACCAGCUGGCUGCAACUGUUUAUUAAAAACACAGCACUGUGCAAACACGAAAGUGGACGUAUACGGUGUGACGCCUGCCCGGUGCCGGAAGGUUAAUUGAUGGGGUCAGCGCAAGCGAAGCUCCUGAUCGAAGCCCCGGUAAACGGCGGCCGUAACUAUAACGGUCCUAAGGUAGCGAAAUUCCUUGUCGGGUAAGUUCCGACCUGCACGAAUGGCGUAAUGAUGGCCAGGCUGUCUCCACCCGAGACUCAGUGAAAUUGAACUCGCUGUGAAGAUGCAGUGUACCCGCGGCAAGACGGAAAGACCCCGUGAACCUUUACUAUAGCUUGACACUGAACAUUGAGCCUUGAUGUGUAGGAUAGGUGGGAGGCUUUGAAGUGUGGACGCCAGUCUGCAUGGAGCCGACCUUGAAAUACCACCCUUUAAUGUUUGAUGUUCUAACGUGGACCCGUUACCCGGGUUGCGGACAGUGUCUGGUGGGUAGUUUGACUGGGGCGGUCUCCUCCUAAAGAGUAACGGAGGAGCAC
RNAcentral lists this ribosomal RNA (1398 nucleotides) under Salmonella enterica. RNAcentral describes it as "partial 23S ribosomal RNA". It matches the Rfam family "Bacterial large subunit ribosomal RNA", at positions 931 to 2311 of the family's 2925-position model. The record is from RNAcentral. Lineage: Bacteria; Pseudomonadati; Pseudomonadota; Gammaproteobacteria; Enterobacterales; Enterobacteriaceae.